RNAcentral lists this ribosomal RNA (352 nucleotides) under uncultured Halorubrum sp. Its description in RNAcentral is "bacterial SSU rRNA". It matches the Rfam family "Archaeal small subunit ribosomal RNA", at positions 356 to 707 of the family's 1478-position model. The record is from RNAcentral. Lineage: Archaea; Methanobacteriati; Methanobacteriota; Halobacteria; Halobacteriales; Haloferacaceae.
UGCACGACAGUGCGAUAGGGGGAUCCCAAGUGCACAGGCAUAGCGCCUGUGCUUUUCGGCACCCUAAGGUGGUGCCAGAAUAAGGGCUGGGCAAGACCGGUGCCAGCCGCCGCGGUAAUACCGGCAGCCCGAGUGAUGGCCGAUCUUAUUGGGCCUAAAGCGUCCGUAGCUGGCCGCGCAAGUCCAUCGGGAAAUCCACCUGCUCAACAGGUGGGCGCCCGGUAGAAACUGCGUGGCUUGGGACCGGAAGGCGCGACGGGUACGUCCGGGGUAGGAGUGAAAUCCCGUAAUCCUGGACGGACCGCCGAUGGCGAAAGCACGUCGCGAGAACGGAUCCGACAGUGAGGGACGA